ACGCUCGACACCUACUGGAGGCAGCAGUGGGGAAUAUUGCACAAUGGGGGAAACCCUGAUGCAGCAACGCCGCGUGAAGGAAGACGGUUUUCGGAUUGUAAACUUCUGUUCUUAGUGAAGAUAGUGACGGUAGCUAAGGAGCUAGCCACGGCUAACUACGUGCCAACAGCCGCGGUAAUCUGAGCGGGCUGGCAAGGC
RNAcentral lists this ribosomal RNA (198 nucleotides) under uncultured bacterium. Its description in RNAcentral is "partial 16S ribosomal RNA". It matches the Rfam family "Bacterial small subunit ribosomal RNA", at positions 328 to 539 of the family's 1533-position model. The record is from RNAcentral.